This 265-nucleotide unclassified non-coding RNA is filed under the name Hevea brasiliensis (rubber tree). Lineage: Eukaryota; Viridiplantae; Streptophyta; Magnoliopsida; Malpighiales; Euphorbiaceae. The record is from RNAcentral.
UUCAUUGAUAUUGCCUCAGCAGUUACUGGUGCUCUCCCGGUUGGUCAGUGAACCACUUAAGCUUCAUUUAUCUGGGAAGCAUAAAUUAUUAACCACAGUAAUAGAAAAGAAUCACCAUUUAAUCAUAGGUACUUAACAAGAUUGAAUUGAAGCUUAACUAUAGGUGGGGUUGAAUUGGAAAAAUAAUAAGUUGAUCUUGAUUUAAAAUUUCAUUUUGGGAAAGCAAAGCUCAGUUGCCAGAAAAAGCACAAGUGCAGAAAGCCAG